AUACGUAGGUGACAAGCGUUAUCCGGACUUACUGGGCGUAAAGGGCGUGUAGGCGGUCUUGCAAGUCAGAAGUGAAAUUCCUGAGCUCAACUCGGGCGCUGCUUCUGAACCUGCAGGACUUGAGUGCUGGAGGGGAUAGCGGAAUUCCUAGUGGAGCGGUAAAAUGCGCAGAUAUUAGGAAGAACACCGGUGGCGAAGGCGGCUAUCUGGACAGUAACUGACGCUGAGGCGCGAAAGCGUGGGGAGCAAACAGGAUUAGAUACCCUGGUAGUCCACGCCGUAGACGAUGAAUACUAGGUGUAGGGGGUAUCGACUCCCUCUGUGCCGCAGUUAACACAAUAAGUAUUCCGCCUGGGGAGUACGGCCGCAAGGUUGAAACUCAAAUGAAGUGGCGGGG
RNAcentral lists this ribosomal RNA (397 nucleotides) under uncultured bacterium. RNAcentral describes it as "partial 16S ribosomal RNA". It matches the Rfam family "Bacterial small subunit ribosomal RNA", at positions 523 to 918 of the family's 1533-position model. The record is from RNAcentral.